Molecule: long non-coding RNA, 8555 nt
Organism: Cavia porcellus (domestic guinea pig)
Lineage: Eukaryota; Metazoa; Chordata; Mammalia; Rodentia; Caviidae
Exons: 2
Source: RefSeq, a predicted model, not a curated record
UCCAAAGACCUGGGCAGAAGACUUGAUCCUCUUGACCCAGACUGAGGAGGACGAAUAUAAACACAGAUUCCCAGGCCCCUGUGAUCAUGGCCCAGUAUGAGCUUAGCAGCGCCAAGUGCUUCCUGUGUUACCCAGUCCUGAACUUGGAACCCUGGAUUUUGGGCCUUUUCUCCACACAUCCUGCAUGCUCUUCUGUCCCCUCCAGCAGAUCCAGCUGCCCCUGCCUUCUUCUCCUCCUGGUUCUGCACCCUGGUCCCUGCACAGUAUUUUUAAGAUGACUAAGCCUCUGGGAGCCAGCCCAGGCUGAGUUGGUAGCUUCCUGCUAGUCCCAGGAGGGCACCUGUGGUCCCCACCUUCACCUCAGUGAAUGACAGCUGCUCAGGCAACAGGCGAUGAGCAGGUGGGUGGGGAGAUUGUUGCCGUGGUUCAACUGCCUCUUCCAGGUGAUUGUUUCAGGUUUUGCUCCUGUGACUAAACGCCAUCUGUACAUCUGUCCAACCUGCUGUUUAUCUGACCAACCUGCAGCUCCAUCUGUUGAUCAUUUAUGCACUCAGUGUUUGGUGGGGAUCAGCAAGGACAGCUUUCAGUAAACGCCAGAAAGAAAGAAGCUGGUGGCCUUGCACCGCGCUGACCCAUCCCCCACGCUCCUUCACCCCUCAUCCUCCUUCCCUGAGCUCCCACCACCACUGCCCCAUUCAGAUCCUCCCACAUCUCUUCCUAAUGACCUCCUUGCCCAUAUUCUCUGCAUGCUCUAACCCGUCCCCCAUAUUGACUACAGGGGAUCUUUGUACAACUCAAAUCCCACCUGAUCAUUCCCUUGUGGAGGAAAUAUUGUGCCCUUCAUACUGCACAGUGUUGAAAUCUCUUGGCGGAACCAGGAGGGUUUCACAACUGAACCCAACCUGCCUGAGUCACCUCUGGUUCUGAUAAAGCACUGAUUAAUGUUGAUGAAUGAAUGAACGAAUAGCAGAGCACAAACUCUAGCAGGGCUCACACCCUAAACAUUAUAUUAGCACCUAUCAUCAGGGAUCCUGAUCCACAAGUAGAGCCAGCCAGAAAGACCAGACCCCAGUAGUGGUCAUAGGGACACAAACAUACUGUUCCCUUGUUCUGGAUACAGUCCCAUCACUGUUUCCAUUCCCAGGAAAUAAGCCUGCAUAGGAUCCUUCCUCCUAGAAAGGUGCUCAGAGCUCCAGAGCCUUUGGUUCUGUGUCUUCUUCUUGGCAAGUCUGAUUAGUGGCUAUGUCUCCGGAACAGAGAACGUCUGGCCAAAGAACAUGGCUGUUCCUACAAUGCUUGAGGCCCUGGUACCACCUCACAGUCUUCACUCAUGUACACAAAAAGUAGUUUCCAUGGUAUCUGAGCUGUAACUAAUGGAACUGUGGUCUCUUCAGGACCACCGGGAUUUUUUUCCAGUGCUGAGUUAGAGGUCCCCUCAGCUCAGUACCUCCUCCGGUCCUGCUCAGCCCAGCCCUUGGGGGUGUUCCUGGUGCCUGAGAGAAUGCAGCUAUCUUCAGGGAGAAUUUACAGGCACCCUUGCCUCUGAGUUCUGGUCUCAGGGACUGUAGGUCUGAGGACUUCAGUAGUCACCAGCUGGAAAAGUCCAAUGAAGACUCAAUUUUAAAGUCUCCCCUCCAGGCAAUUUGUAGCCAGACAAAACAGGAUGUAGGGGCUGAACACACUGCUGACAGAAUGUAAAAUGGGAAUACAACUUCGGAAAAAUGGUUUGGCAAUUUCUUAAAAAGUUGAAUGUGUAUCUAUCCUAGGACACAGGCAUUCCAUUCCUAGGUAUUUACUCAAGAAUCAAAAGCUCAUAUUCACACAGACAUUUGCACCUGAACAUUCAGAGCCUGGAACUGAAAACAAUCCAAAUGUCCCUCAACUGGUAGAAGGAGAAAUGAAUUCAAUGAAUUUACAAUGAAAUAGUACUUAGCAAUGAGGAGGAAUUAACUAUUUGCAUACACAACAACAUGGAUGAAUUUCAAAAUAAUUAUGCAGAAUGAGAAAAGAACAAACAAAAAUGGUAUGUAUUGGAUGAUCCUAUUUAUUUAAAAUUCAGAAAAUGCAAACUCAUCUAUCGUGACAGAGAAUAGGGUGGUUGCCUGGAGACAGGGGACAAGAGAGAAAGGGACAGGAGGAAACUUUUGGGGGUGAUGAAUAGAUUCAUUGCCUUGAUGGUGAUGUUUUCACAGGUGCAUAUGUAAGUUAAAAUUCAUCAGAUUGAACAUUUUAUGUAUGUGUAAUAUAUAUUAGUAAGUAUAUUAUAGCUUAGUAAAGCUAUUUUUUAAAAAAGAGGCGCUAGGUAUGGUGGUGUGCCCCUAUAAUCCCAGUACUUAAGAGGUUUGCUGUGGGUUCAAGGCCAGCCUGGGAUACAUAGUGAGUUCAAGACCAGUAUGAACUAUGUAGUAAGACCCUGUCUCCAGAAACUAAAAAUUAAAAUUAAAAGGACAAGGUAGAGUCUCCUUGCACUCCCUCCAGGAUACACAACUGCUCAGUACAGUCUUCAAGGCCUUAAGCCACCAGGCUAUCCUCUUUGUCUUCUCUGGUUUGCUUUCCUGGAAGUCUGUUUAUGAGGUGUGGCUCUUUAAAUUGUGUCACAACAACUGGCAGGGCUCAUGCUUCAUCCACUUGGAGAACUUCUGCUGCUUUGUUGAUGUCCUGCUUGGUGGCGCGCUUUCCAGGAAAGCCUUCCGGGUCCUGGCAGAUCACUGGUAGUUUCUUCCUUGGUGGCCCACAGUCCAGUGGCACAGAUGACUGUUAUAACCAUCUGCUCCAGCAGACUGUGGACUCACUGAUGCCAACAACAGUGCAUGAGCCACCUUGCCAUGAUUGUGCUACAAGGGCAUCCAGAAGGCUUUACUCAGUCGAUUCUAUGUUCAAGAAGGAAGGUCAACAUGAGAUACAGUGCAAGAGGUCUGAGGAGCAGACAGGACUGGAAAGAUCCAGGAAGGAUAGAAGGCCUGUUUCCAGAGAGAGCCAGACUGCUUUCCUGGGAAAGGGAAAAAUCACACUAGUUACUAAUGGGAUUUUAGCCAGUGGUGGGCAUAUGGGAGCUGGGCGUUUUCUUCCUCCCUGUACAGGAGAGCCCUUGGGGAAUCCACAGAGAAGCCCUUUCCUCAACCAAAGAGAAGGUCUGGCUUUACAUCCCCCCUCCCAGGAAGAGGAGAAGACUGAGGCUUCCUUUUAAGACAUAUGGGGAGGUGCCAGAGUCUAUUGCUUGUCUUCAUCCUGCACUCUGGCAUGUGUGGCAUGGGCUGAAGGCACCACAAUGAUUCCUAGACACAGAGACAAAUACCACUGGAGGCCACAUGAGCUCCUGAAGGUUUUAGUGAUUUCCAAGCCAGUCCUGGCCUCCUUAUGUUUCAGGGGUCCUGGGAAGUUCUCUGGCCUGAUGAGUGGCCAGAUGCAGCCCCUUUCCCACCCAGCCCAUACCGUGGCCUUCCCAUUCACCAACAGCCCUAGGUAAGCUGGUUGGUUUUUUGAAGUCAGGCCCUGCGGUCAGUGAGAACUUCCAUUCACCUAGAUCAAUCAGAGAACAGUGCAGAGGCCAAGUACAGGAAGUCUAGGGAGAAAUCUGGCUCUGAGGAUCAAAUCUGGGAGGCUAAAUAUCUAGAAAUAAUGCUCCCCAAGAUUCCAUGUUGGUGACUAGUGAUACAUGCGUGUACAGGGGCCCAAAGUUCCUGCACUAUUAGCUGUCCUUUGGGGGGAGGGGCAGCCAGAACCAGAGGCACUUGGGGGAGAAGGAAAUGAGGCAGAAAUGCUGUCCAAUAAUGAACAAACUAUGUCCUGAUGCCACAGGCAGAUGGUCAUUUAUGCAACACUCUUUUAAAGCCAGAGUGACAUCCAUGGGACAAUGGACCUUGUUUACCCUUGAACAGAACCAGCCCUGAGCUAUGCUGUCUUGGAUGGGAUCCUAACUGGCUAAGUAACUGGUUUUGCACCAAUGACUUCCUUCAAAGCCAGCCUCUCUUAUGGCACCUUCCUUGGAGAUGGUCCUUCUAAUGUCAUGUUUCUUUAAAGUUUUUCAAGAUGCCACCCCAAGGUGAAGUCCUAGAAACUCCUUCUUAAGCUCACAGACCUUGGCUUAGGAAAGUCACUGAGACUCAGCAUGUGAGCAUAUUCCUAGAAGAGGGUCUGUAUGCAGUGCUUUUCUGUCAUGGCACAGGUAUGUUUAGGGCACCUGUGACACGGGGCUCUGUCCUGGCUGCCUUGGGAAAGACAGAUGACUGCCCUACUCACCACUCACUGACCACAGAGCCAGGUCCAGGAAGAGGCUCUAAGGAUGUGCAGUGAAGGACUCAGGCCUGCUCUCAAGGAGUCCACAGCCUACUAGGGGCCCUGAGAAGCAAACACAAGCAGCAUACUCUUUUGAGCUUCUCAAAGAAUGUUCCAAAACAGAGAUACUGAGAGAAAGCAGCAAUACCACUGUUUUGUGUUUGUUACUAGCAAACCAAAAUUUUUAUGUUUUUAAAGUAAUUUUUAGUUCAUAUCAAAAUGAAGGAAAAGUACAGAGAUUUAUGUUAUAUCCUCUUCCCUGUAACACACACAGCCUUCUCCACUGUCAACGUCGCGAAGGUGGUACAUUUGUCGCAAUCAAUUUGCCGUAACAUUUAUCACCCAAAGUCCAUAGUUCACAUUAGGAUUCACUCUUGGGGCUAGACAUUCUGUGAGUUUGAGGAACAGUACUGGUUUUAUCUCAUUUAGGUGGGAGUCUUUGGCAGAAUUCGAUGAGCUGGUCUUUCUGUUGGGAGGAUUGAGGGUCACGGCAGAUUGUGGAGAAGAGCCACCAGAACUGUCUCUUGAGUAAUAAACAGAUGUCCACAUGGCAGAUAAGGGGGAAAAGGGCAGUCCAGGCCAAAGAAACAACUGAGCAAAUAUCAGAAAACAUCUUUGAGGUAAGAUAAGACAGGCUUCCAAUGCAGUGCAGUCUUAGCUUUGGGAGUUAAAUUGCUGUGGAAUUUCUAGAGAAAUUCCAAAUUUUAGAACAUGAUGCAGUGAUAUUUGCCUGUUGAUGCCAGAAUGUGAGUCUGAGUCUGGGGCUUGCCUAGUUCUCCUCGCUUUGUCUCUGCAGGGAAUAACGUUGGGACAAGUCAUGCUAAAAGCCCUCAGUAAUGUUUUCCUGUGAAGACACACCAAUUCCCCACUGGAUAAUUAGGCUGCAGUGGGAUCCUCUGAGAAUGGUUGCAUUCUCUACAGGCUGGAACUGCAGCCGCCCAGGGACUGGUCCUCUUUAACUGAUGCAUUUGACCUCCCCUCCUCCUCUCCCUCUUCCUCCUCCUCCCCUUCAUCUGCCUCCUCUGCCUUCUCCUUCUCCUUCUCCUUCUCUUCUCUUAAAGUCCUGGAACCUGAACUUACUGAGCACUGAGCCACAUCCCUAGCCUAUUUAUUUAUUUAUUUUUUAACUUUUAGACAGGCUCCGUCUUGCAAAAUUGCUAAGGCUGGACUUUUUUUUUUCCUUAACAUGGAUGAGCUUGCUUAAAAAGCUGUUUUAUUCAUCUAUGCAGAUAAAGUAUCAAAAGAUGCUGUAAUUGAUUAGAAAAUAACUUCAUUCUAUAGUAAGUUAGCAUCAGAGGACUUUCAUUCUUUCAGACCUGGGCUGAUUGAUAGUGAGUGCAAUGGUCUGCCACCUUCUCCCCAUUCCCUUCCACUCUGGAUCCUGAAAAGGUCUCUCUGGCUUUGACUCUGCCUUGUAGACUGGGAGAACACUGGUAGAACAUACCCAGCCUGUCUGGUCAGAACUCGCCCUCCAGGGAACUGCUGUAAGGACUGUGAGGACAGAAACGACUGAGAUUAGGCUCAGGAAAAGGCACAAAGUUCCCUAAUUACCUCUAAAUGGGGCUGAGGGUAUAGAAGAUGAUGGUGCCAUCUGACCCUGAAUUUUGGGACCUCUCACUAGGAAGAGAAUGGCAUUCACAGAAAGAAAUGUCCAUGACCUUGGAAACUCAUUAAAACCAACUGGCAUCAGGUGGAACUACGGUGUCCCCAGCAGGAGGUAGGUGGCCAGGUGGAGGGUUGCAAUGGAGGAGGAUAACAGAGGGCUCAGAACUAAUUCUAGUCCCUCAGAGGCCAACCUGGCUUCCUGAUAUAGAAAGCCAACUUCUCUGGGAAGCAUCGCUCAUAAUUGUCUUCUAGAUCCAAGGUGGCUGAUGUUUCCCAGAAGCUCAGCUCAUAGGCCAGGCUCCCCCCAAGCAAUAUGCUGUCAACCCUGCCUUAUGGGGCUGGAGGCAGCGCUUCUUGGGAUUCUGUGAAGAUCAUGGGUGUCCUCCAGGGUACCUUUUUGCUCCCAACACUAAAGCCAGUGUUUGGUCACCUGUCAUUGGCACCUUGCACCGAUUGGUUGUACUACUGAACCCUAUUUCUAGGGUCAAACAUUUUGCUGGUAGCUCAGAAAUCAAAGGAUGACAAAGAACUCUGGCUACUGACCCGGUAGCCCAGCCGAUGCCAUAACUGGACUUUGGGCCUCAGAUCAGAUGACUGAGUUCUUUCUUUGUCCCAAGGAUUCAACACAACCAAGUAGUAAGGAGGAAGGGAGUUAAGAGCCAGGCACCGUGCUAGCUCUUUUAGCUUCAUUUUCUCUUUUAAUCUUCUCAAAUACCCUAUGGGGUAGGUGAGCCUGAGAUUCAAAGAGGAAGUGAUUUUUUUUUUUUCAGGAUUACACAGCAUAAGAUCCACCAAUUUCUGUUUUAGGGAAUAUAGUUGCUGAAGAAAACAAAAAAUGCUGGGUGAAACAAAAAGAAUCUUAAAAGGAUCAAUGACGAGACUAAAAAGAAUAAAGUCAAAAUCUAGGGGGAGGCGAGAACCUAGAUAAAGAGCAUUGGAAGCAUUCUGACCCUGAACGUCUUUGAUGAUUAAAUACAUGAGAAACUCAGCAGUUUUUUUCUUCUUUUGUGGUGUGGGUGAAUCAAACUCAGGGCCUCAUGUGAACUGGGCAAUUGCUCUACCACCGAGCUAUGUCCUCUGCUCUUUAUAAUUUAUUUUGAGACAAGGUCUCACUGUGUUAGCCAAGCUGACCUCAAACUUGUGAGCCUGUCACCUCAGCCUCCCUAGUAGCUGGAUUACAGGUGCUCACCCCCUUGCAAGGAACUCUGUUUUAAUAUUAUGUGGCGCAGUGUAGACAAAUGUCAAGCUCAGAUCUGUCCCCAGUGGGGAAUCAAUCAGGAGGCUCCUCUAGAUUGAUACAUCACUUCAAACACCCUCCCUAUGGUGGGAAUGUAAAAGCUAGGGGGAAAGUGAUGCUUCUGAGUUCAAAUCACCAGCCAGAUUUCAUGUGGAUUAGCAGCCCAAGAUUAUAUCAUGUGGAUGGUCUGAAAAAUCUCCAGUCACAAAUUUGAACUACUUCAGGACUGUUAAUGUCCCCGGGCUGCUGGGGAAAUUACCCAUAAAUUCUCUCUGGGGGAAGCUUUCUUUAUUUUAUACCUUGAUAAAUUGCCACCAAUAAGUUGUCAAGUGUAUUGAACAGUACAGAAGCUCUAGAUAGCCAAGCAAGGAAAAACAGGGAAUUCAAGCCAGCAGAGAUAACUGAUGGCAGAUAAGAACAUAUAGCAACCAUAGGUCAGGGCACCGUGAAACACUGAUUACAGAAAUAACCAUACUUACUCUGUGUAAUGAAAUAAAAGAUAAGCUUGGGAAUAUCUGCAGAAAACAGAAGUCUAUAAAGAGGGACCUCACAAACUUGAGAAGGAAACAGAACUUCCGGAAAUUAAAAAUACCAAGCCUGAAAUGUUUGAAUGCAGUGAAAGAUUAGAUUUAGCUUAAAAGACAGUUUGUUAGCUGGCAGGCAGAUUAGAAGAAAAAUCAAUGGAACAAAGCACAGAGAGACAAAAGAUAGAAAAUAUGAAAGAAAAGUUAAGAGACAUGGAAAAGGCUAGCCUAUAAGUCAUAGAUGCUCUAGAAGAGGCGAGAGACAGGAGAGAGGCAAGGUGUUGGCUGAAAUUUUUCCAGAGUUGAUAGCAACCACCAUUCACACGUGUUAAGAAUCCCAAGGAAUCCCAAGCAGAAUUUUAAAAAAGAAGGAAAAGUAAAGGAAGAAAUAUAUGUGGUAAAUUUCAGAGAGAGAGAGAGAGAGAGAGAGAGAGAGAGAACCAGAAGCUAAGUCAAAACCCUUAGACUAACACUAAUUUGUCAAUGGUAACAACAGAAGAGGGAAGAUGACCUGACAACUCAGACUUCUUCACCUAGUGAAAUUAUCUUCCAUGAAAAAGCACCAAACACACUUCCAGACAACAAAAACAGAGAAUGUGGAGGCUAGUAACUCUCUUAACGAUUGUCAUGGUUUAUGUCUGUGUCUCCCAGGUCUCAUGAGUUUGCAUUGUGUAUUUGUGAUCGAUUCACUGUCUAGUGCUUGGAUUGAUGGUGUCAGUGCUCCUCCCACAUAGGGGUGGAGCCAGGAUAUGAUGUAAUGGCAGGAAGAAGGCGUGUCUUGCUCUUUGCUGGUUCCAGCUUGCUGUUUGCAGCCGCCAAGAACGGUGGCCCAGCCAUACCUGCCUGCCUUGGAGCCAACUGAGUGUGGACUGAAACCUCCAAAACCUGUAAGAAAUAAACCUUUCCUUUCCCAA